Molecule: long non-coding RNA, 310 nt
Organism: Gracilinanus agilis (Agile Gracile Mouse Opossum)
Lineage: Eukaryota; Metazoa; Chordata; Mammalia; Didelphimorphia; Didelphidae
Exons: 2
Source: RefSeq, a predicted model, not a curated record
GCGCCACCGGGCGCGCCUGGGCGCCCUCGAGGGGCUCGUGCAGCAACUGCGCCGGGACAACCUGCUGUCGCACGAGCGGCUGCGACUGCUGGGCGCGGCAUGCCUGUCCGGGGGCCCGGGGCGCCCUGAGCCCGCGGGGCCCGGCUCUGUGACCAUCGUGUGCGGGGAAGAGCCUGCCGCUACAGUGCUCUACACGCUGACGCCUGCCCAGGACGACUGAGCCCUCGGGAGACCCCUGCCCAGGCCGUGGGGGGAGGGGGUCCCGGGCCUCAGCGUUUCUUUUGAACUCAAUAAACUUAACUUGAGAAAA